RNAcentral lists this ribosomal RNA (229 nucleotides) under uncultured bacterium. Its description in RNAcentral is "partial 16S ribosomal RNA". It matches the Rfam family "Bacterial small subunit ribosomal RNA", at positions 103 to 334 of the family's 1533-position model. The record is from RNAcentral.
CGGGUGAGUAACGCGUGGGUAACCUGCCUUGUACAGGGGGAUAACAGUUGGAAACGGCUGCUAAUACCGCAUAAGCGCACGGCAUCGCAUGAUGCAGUGUGAAAACUCCGGUGGUAUAAGAUGGACCCGCGUUGGAUUAGCUAGUUGGUGAGGUAACGCCCACCAAGGCGACGAUCCAUAGCCGACCUGAGAGGGUGACCGGCCACAUUGGGACUGAGACACGGCCCAG